GCUCAUGCAGCCUGUUUACUGAAUUAUUCAGACAAAGAGACUGAACUUCAUCUGGUAUGCCUGUAGUAAACAUGGAAGGUGACCAAAGAAUCAAUUGAUUAGAAAAGAAAUGUCCUAUUUGGCUGAGGACAGAAAAAAGUCUGGUGUAGGAGGGGAGACCUUUUAUGCUUACAUUCUUGUUAAUUGUUUAAUUGUUCCCUGUCCUGUCCUGUC
This is a non-coding RNA of Pelobates cultripes (western spadefoot toad), 213 nucleotides long. The record is from the annotation of a GenBank genome assembly. NCBI's taxonomy places the organism in Eukaryota, Metazoa, Chordata, Amphibia, Anura, Pelobatidae.